Molecule: ribosomal RNA, 468 nt
Filed under: uncultured bacterium
Lineage: Bacteria
Description: partial 16S ribosomal RNA
Rfam family: Bacterial small subunit ribosomal RNA
Source: RNAcentral
GACGAACGCUGGCGGCGUGCUUAACACAUGCAAGUCGAACGGAAAGGCCCUGCUUUUGUGGGGUGCUCGUGUGGCGAACGGGUGAGUAGCACGUGAGUAACCUGCCCUUGACUUUGGGAUAACUUCAGGAAACUGGGGCUAAUACCGGAUAGGAGCUCCUGCUGCAUGGUGGGGGUUGGAAAGUUUCGGCGGUUGGGGCUGGACUCGCGGCUUAUCAGCUUGUUGGUGGGGUAGUUGCUUACCAAGGCUUUGACGGGUAGCCGGCCUGAGAGGGUGACCGGCAUCAUUGGGAAUGAGGAACGGAGCAGACGGAUAUGGGAGGCAGUAGUGGGGAAUAUGGCAAAAUGGGCGGAAGCGAGAUGCAGAAACGUCGCGUGCGGGAUGACGGCCUUCGGGUUGAAAACAGCUUUCGCCUGAGAAGAAGCGGGAGUGACGGUAAAGGGUAAAGAAGCACCGGCUAACUACGUG